Molecule: long non-coding RNA, 473 nt
Organism: Leptinotarsa decemlineata (Colorado potato beetle)
Lineage: Eukaryota; Metazoa; Arthropoda; Insecta; Coleoptera; Chrysomelidae
Source: RefSeq, a predicted model, not a curated record
GUAGCUCAAGUGUAUUGUUUUUGCAAAUUGGAUUUCACUAGUACAAUGAGCUCAGGCUAACGACAGAGUAUGAAUCAAAGAGGGCUGUAUCUAGUUCUGGAACUUUCUAGAAAAAAAAACGACGAAAUUCAAGAAGAAUUUAUUUCAGUUCCAUACCAUCAAUACACGGAGAACUUAGGAAUGAUUUUCAAGGCUCUGGAAAAGACAUAAGUCUAGAAUUCGGAAAAGUCUGGAAUUUACGAAAUCAAAUGUAAGGACUGCGAUGCAAAAUACUAAGGACAUACAAAAAGUACUAUUGAAAUAAGAUAAAAGGAACACUUGGCACACUUAAAACAUGGAAGACCUGAAAAAUCAGCAGUCGCCCAUUAUAUUUUGCAACAAAACCCUUCCAUAAACUCAAGUUCAUUGAGAUCAGUUCAACAAGUUAACAACAACAGGCAUCUAGAUGCCUAUGAGAGUGUGGCCAUGAGUAA